GCUGGCGUAGCUCAGUUGGAAGAGCAGCCGCCUUGUAAGCGGCAGGUCGCGGGUUCGAAUCCCGCCGCCAGCU
Molecule: transfer RNA, 73 nt
Filed under: Acidimicrobiia bacterium
Lineage: Bacteria; Bacillati; Actinomycetota; Acidimicrobiia
Description: tRNA-Thr
Rfam family: tRNA
About the family: Transfer RNA (tRNA) molecules are approximately 80 nucleotides in length. Their secondary structure includes four short double-helical elements and three loops (D, anti-codon, and T loops).
Source: RNAcentral